This 247-nucleotide long non-coding RNA is filed under the name Lathyrus oleraceus (garden pea). RNAcentral describes it as "Pisum sativum (pea) long non-coding RNA (PSAT_LNC020458)". The record is from RNAcentral. Lineage: Eukaryota; Viridiplantae; Streptophyta; Magnoliopsida; Fabales; Fabaceae.
UUCUAUGAGAGAUAAACCCAUUACCCAGGCUUGAGUGUACACACAGGUUUUAGAGUGGAUAAUCAUGAGGCUUGCGUGGCGUGUUGCUAAGUUAAGUCGUUCGUGAAGAACCACACCCAAACGAGGUUUCUUUUGGAUAUAUUAUGUCUUACGGGUGUUCCGUAACGGCAGGAUGUUCCUCUAGAAAUCGUCGACUCUGGUGACCAUUUCCUGAGAACUCAGUCGAGGCCUCUCCUCCGAGACGUGA